GGCGGACGGGUGAGUAACGCGUAGGAAUCUACCUAGUAGAAGGGGAUAGCCCGGGGAAACUCGGAUUAAUACCGUAUACCUCCUAAGGGAGAAAGAGGGCCUCUCUUGAUGCUCUCACUAUUAGAUGAGCCUGCGUAAGAUUAGCUUGUUGGUGAGGUAAUGGCUUACCAAGGCUACGAUCUUUACCUGGUCUGAGAGGACGAUCAGCCACAUUGGGACUGAGACACGGCCCAGACUCCUACGGGAGGCAGCAGUGGGGAAUAUUGGACAAUGGGCGCAAGCCUGAUCCAGCCAUACCGCGUGUGUGAACAAGGCCUUCCGGGUUGUAAAGCACUUUAAGCCGGGAGAAAAAGUUAUAAGUUAAUACCUUAUAACCGUGAUGUUACCCGCAGAAUAAGCACCGGCUAAUUCCGUGCCAGCAGCCGCGGUAAUACGGAAGGUGCAAGCGUUAAUCGGAAUUACUGGGCGUAAA
This 472-nucleotide ribosomal RNA is filed under the name uncultured bacterium. RNAcentral's name for it is "bacterial SSU rRNA". It matches the Rfam family "Bacterial small subunit ribosomal RNA", at positions 97 to 564 of the family's 1533-position model. The record is from RNAcentral.